UGAGGAACAUGACCUUCGGCGGGGGAUAGCCGGCCCAACGGCCGGGUAAUACCGCGUACGACCAUUUGGGGACAUCCCCGGAUGGUGAAAGCAGCAAUGCGCCGAUGAAGUGCCUCGCGGCCUAUCAGCUUGUUGGUGAGGUAACGGCCCACCAAGGCGACGACGGGUAGCCGGCCUGAGAGGGCGACCGGCCACACUGGGACUGAGACACGGCCCAGACUCCUACGGGAGGCAG
RNAcentral lists this ribosomal RNA (235 nucleotides) under uncultured bacterium. Its description in RNAcentral is "partial 16S ribosomal RNA". It matches the Rfam family "Bacterial small subunit ribosomal RNA", at positions 118 to 351 of the family's 1533-position model. The record is from RNAcentral.